AGAACCUUUUAGAGAUAAGAGGGUGCUAGCUUGCUAGAACUUAGAGACAGGUGCUGCACGGCUGUCGUCAGCUCGUGUCGUGAGAUGUUGGGUUAAGUCCCGCAACGAGCGCAACCCACGUAUUUAGUUGCUAACGGUUCGGCCGAGCACUCUAAAUAGACUGCCUUCGUAAGGAGGAGGAAGGUGUGGACGACGUCAAGUCAUCAUGGCCCUUAUGCCCAGGGCGACACACGUGCUACAAUGGCAUAUACAAUGAGACGCAAUACCGCGAGGUGGAGCAAAUCUAUAAAAUAUGUCCCAGUUCGGAUUGUUCUCUGCAACUCGAGAGCAUGAAGCCGGAAUCGCUAGUAAUCGUAGAUCAGCCAUGCUACGGUGAAUACGUUCCCGGGUCUUGUACUCACCGCCCGUCACACCAUGGGAGUUGAUUUCACUCGAAGCCGGAAUACUAAACUAGUUACCGUCCACAGUGGAAUCAGCGACUGGGGUGAAGUCGUAACAAGGUAACCGUAGGAGAACCUGCGGUUGGAUCACCUCCUUUCUAG
RNAcentral lists this ribosomal RNA (542 nucleotides) under Campylobacter jejuni. Its description in RNAcentral is "bacterial SSU rRNA". It matches the Rfam family "Bacterial small subunit ribosomal RNA", at positions 992 to 1533 of the family's 1533-position model. The record is from RNAcentral. Lineage: Bacteria; Pseudomonadati; Campylobacterota; Epsilonproteobacteria; Campylobacterales; Campylobacteraceae.